AUUCAAAAUUCAAACCGUAUACAUAUAUAACCUACAUUAUUCUGACUCCACGUUCAAAAUUCAAACCAUAAAUCAAUCCACAUCUCUCUCAAAUCCAGAGCUCCCAAUUCAAACCAUAAAGUGGCCGGCUGAAAUCGUGAGUUCUUCGGUGACCGAGCGGAGUUUAUAAAUGCGACCAGAUUAAUUUCAUAUUCUAAUCAUCUAAAGAUAGAAGAGCUCCUUCCUUUUGAAGAUAGAAGAGCUCCUUACUUAUUUUAUCACCAUCAUCUCAUCUCAUCUCAUUUUCUUCAUUACAUUUCAGAUUCUAAAACUCAACAACUCGAUUUUCUGCAUCAGAUUCUGAUCAAAUUGUGAAGUCUUCAUGGCGAUGAAAUCAACAGGACAACGCCAUCGUUUCGAUCAUCUGCUUCCAGAUUGAGUUGGUGUUUAUUGUUGAUAUCCGGACUGAUAAGAAGAAGAUUAAAGCUGCUGUUAAGAAGAUGUAUGAUAUUCAAACUAAGAAGGUUAAUACUUUGAUCAGUCUAAUGUUAGAAUAGAGAAAAGACGAAAACCAGACCCUCAAUAUGUUUUUGCUGAGGCAGCGACAUAGUGGACCGUUUUGAUUGUUCUCGCAAAGGCCAGCCUUUCAUUCAAUUCGAGUUUUAUGUUUUAAAUAUAAAAAAUGGUUGAAGAUGAAAGGUUCAAAGAGGUUAAAAGUCGCCUAACCCGUUUUCAAAUGUUUGCAAUGUCAGAAAGGGAACUCUUUACCAUUCGAGUUUGUGUGGUUGUGAAUUGUGACCCAUGGAAGAGAAAAAUAAGUUUUGAAGUGAUCAAAACUUGCAACUCGAUUAUAGUUUUUAUUAUAGACGGUCGGACUAAUGGCAUUGACUUAGUAAUGGUGCUGAUUGGUGAGUGGCCAAAAUGGCAGUAAAAAAGAAGGGAGGGUCUUUUCUUGAAGCUCCGGUCUCAGGUAGCAAAAAACCAGCUGAAGCUGAAGACGGACAAUUAGUAAUCCUUUCUGCUGGGGACAAAGGGCUGUAUGAUGCAAUUCUUUCUGCGUUUGACGUUUUGGGGAAGAAGUAUUUUUUCUUGGGAGAGGUUGGAAAUGGAGCGAAUAUGAAACUUAUAAUUUUUAUUGAUUAUGUUUAUGAGUUUGAUAUGUGUAAAAGUGUAUUAAACAACUUAUAACUAUAAUAAGUAUUUUUAAAGUCGUA
RNA transcript from Helianthus annuus (common sunflower), 1193 nucleotides. It is a transcript of the gene named glyoxylate/succinic semialdehyde reductase 1-like, with no coding region annotated. The record is from RefSeq and is a predicted model, not a curated record. The transcript is spliced from 6 exons. NCBI's taxonomy places the organism in Eukaryota, Viridiplantae, Streptophyta, Magnoliopsida, Asterales, Asteraceae.